GAGUUUGAUCCUGGCUCAGGAUGAACGCUGGCGGCGUGCUUAACACAUGCAAGUCGAACGGGGCCACCAUUUUUGAAGCGAUUAGCUUGCUAAGAGUGGAAAUGUUGGCGGCUUAGUGGCGGACGGGUGAGUAACGCGUGGGUAACCUGCCAUAUACAGGGGGAUAACACUUAGAAAUAGGUGCUAAUACCGCAUAAGCGCACGGAGCUGCAUGGCUCAGUGUGAAAAACUCCGGUGGUAUAUGAUGGACCCGCGUCUGAUUAGCUUGUUGGCGGGGUAACGGCCCACCAAGGCGACGAUCAGUAGCCGGCCUGAGAGGGUGGACGGCCACAUUGGGACUGAGACACGGCCCAAACUCCUACGGGAGGCAGCAGUGGGGAAUAUUGGACAAUGGGGGGAACCCUGAUCCAGCGACGCCGCGUGAGUGAAGAAGUAUCUCGGUAUGUAAAGCUCUAUCAGCAGGGAAGAAAGAAAUGACGGUACCUGACCAAGAAGCCCCGGCUAACUACGUGCCAGCAGCCGCGGUAAUACGUAGGGGGCAAGCGUUAUCCGGAUUUACUGGGUGUAAAGGGAGCGUAGACGGUAAUGCAAGUCUGGAGUGAAAUGCAGGGGCUCAACCCCUGAACUGCUUUGGAAACUGUAUGACUG
Molecule: ribosomal RNA, 648 nt
Filed under: uncultured bacterium
Lineage: Bacteria
Description: bacterial SSU rRNA
Rfam family: Bacterial small subunit ribosomal RNA
Source: RNAcentral